UACGUAGGGUGCGAGCGUUGUCCGGAAUUAUUGGGCGUAAAGGGCUCGUAGGCGGUUUGUCGCGUCGGGAGUGAAAACUCAGGGCUUAACCCUGAGCCUGCUUCCGAUACGGGCAGACUAGAGGUAUGCAGGGGAGAACGGAAUUCCUGGUGUAGCGGUGAAAUGCGCAGAUAUCAGGAGGAACACCGGUGGCGAAGGCGGUUCUCUGGGCCGAUACUGACGCUGAGGAGCGAAAGCGUGGGGAGCAAACAGG
This 253-nucleotide ribosomal RNA is filed under the name uncultured bacterium. Its description in RNAcentral is "partial 16S ribosomal RNA". It matches the Rfam family "Bacterial small subunit ribosomal RNA", at positions 524 to 776 of the family's 1533-position model. The record is from RNAcentral.